Molecule: small RNA, 132 nt
Filed under: Escherichia coli
Lineage: Bacteria; Pseudomonadati; Pseudomonadota; Gammaproteobacteria; Enterobacterales; Enterobacteriaceae
Description: RtT sRNA
Rfam family: RtT RNA
About the family: This family represents a bacterial cis-regulatory element known as RtT RNA. The exact function of RtT is unknown although it is thought that it may be involved in changing the cellular response in relation to amino acid starvation.
Source: RNAcentral
AUUCUGCCCAUGCGGGGAAGGAUGAGAAGCUUCGACCAAGGUUCGACUCGAGCGCCAGCGAGAGAGCGUUGCCGCAGGCAACGACCCGAAGGGCGAAGCGCGCAGCGCUGAGUAAACCUUCCCCCACCACCA